This 449-nucleotide ribosomal RNA is filed under the name uncultured bacterium. Its description in RNAcentral is "bacterial SSU rRNA". It matches the Rfam family "Bacterial small subunit ribosomal RNA", at positions 29 to 508 of the family's 1533-position model. The record is from RNAcentral.
AACGAACGCUGGCGGCAUGCCUAACACAUGCAAGUCGAACGAGGGCCCCGCUUCGGUGGGACCCUAGUGGCGCACGGGUGAGUAACGCGUGGGAACCUGCCCUGUGGUACGGAAUAACUCCGGGAAACUGGAGCUAAUACCGUAUGUGUCCUUUGGGACAAAGAUUUAUCGCCAUGGGAUGGGCCCGCGUAGGAUUAGCUUGUUGGUGGGGUAACGGCCUACCAAGGCAACGAUCCUUAGCUGGUCUGAGAGGAUGAUCAGCCACACUGGGACUGAGACACGGCCCAGACUCCUACGGGAGGCAGCAGUGGGGAAUAUUGGACAAUGGGCGCAAGCCUGAUCCAGCAAUGCCGCGUGAGUGAUGAAGGCCUUCGGGUUGUAAAGCUCUUUCAGCAGGGACGAAGCGCAAGUGACGGUACCUGUAGAAGAAGGACCGGCCAACUACGUGC